UUGAAAAAAAGUGAUACUUCUAAGCCGAAUUUCGAACAUCGGUCUAUUCCAAACGAAAGAGCAUACUUUUUUCUAUAUAAUGGCAUAUUCUUUAGAGAUUUUAUCUAAAUAGUUAAAAUUUUAUGAAGAAUAUAGACAAAAUUUUAGUAUCAAUCGUUAGCGAAUUUCCACGGUUUUUUCAAUACUAAAUUGAAAAAAAUUGAUACUUCUAAGCCGAAUUUCGAACAUCGGUCUAUUCCAAACGAAAGAGCAUACUUUUUUCUAUAUAAUGGCACAUUCUUUUGAGAUUUUUUCUAAAUAGUUAAAAUUUUAUGAGGAAUAUAGA
Molecule: non-coding RNA, 325 nt
Organism: Cinara cedri
Lineage: Eukaryota; Metazoa; Arthropoda; Insecta; Hemiptera; Aphididae
Source: the annotation of a GenBank genome assembly